Molecule: ribosomal RNA, 445 nt
Filed under: uncultured bacterium
Lineage: Bacteria
Description: partial 16S ribosomal RNA
Rfam family: Bacterial small subunit ribosomal RNA
Source: RNAcentral
GUGAGGAAUAUUGGUCAAUGGGCGGGAGCCUGAUCCAGCCAAGUCGCGUGAAGGAAGAAGGAUCUAUGGUUCGUAAACUUCUUUUGCAGGGGAAUAAAGUGCAGGACGUGUCCUGUUUUGUAUGUACCCUGAGAAUAAGGAUCGGCUAACUCCGUGCCAGCAGCCGCGGUAAUACGGAGGAUCCGAGCGUUAUCCGGAUUUAUUGGGUUUAAAGGGUGCGUAGGUGGUUUGAUAAGUCAGCGGUGAAAGUUUGCAGCUUAACUGUAAAAAUGCCGUUGAAACUGUCGGACUUGAGUGUAAAUGAGGUAGGCGGAAUGCGUGGUGUAGCGGUGAAAUGCAUAGAUAUCACGCAGAACUCCGAUUGCGAAGGCAGCUUACUAAGCUACAACUGACACUGAAGCACGAAAGCGUGGGGAUCAAACAGGAUUAGAAACCCGGGUAGUCC